UUAUAUAAGUUAUCGUUUAUUUGAUAGCACAUUACUACAUGGAUAACUGUGGUAAUUCUAGAGCUAAUACAUGCUAAAAAUCCCGACUUCGGAAGGGAUGUAUUUAUUAGAUUAAAAGCCAACGCCCUUCGGGGCUUCCUGGUGAUUCAUAAUAACUUUUCGAAUCGCAUGGCCUUGCGCCGGCGAUGGUUCAUUCAAAUUUCUUCCCUAUCAACUUUCGAUGCGAAGGUAUUGUCUUCGCAUGGUUGCAACGGGUAACGGAGGGUUAGGGCUCGACCCCGGAGAAGGAGCCUGAGAAACGGCUACUACAUCCAAGGAAGGCAGCAGGCGCGCAAAUUACCCAAUCCCGACACGGGGAGGUAGUGACA
RNAcentral lists this ribosomal RNA (368 nucleotides) under Lomentospora prolificans. RNAcentral's name for it is "Scedosporium prolificans Eukaryotic small subunit ribosomal RNA". It matches the Rfam family "Eukaryotic small subunit ribosomal RNA", at positions 101 to 472 of the family's 1831-position model. Lineage: Eukaryota; Fungi; Ascomycota; Sordariomycetes; Microascales; Microascaceae. The record is from Rfam by way of RNAcentral.